UUGAUCAUAGUUACUAACCUGCAUAUAUUGAAUGCCACAUCUGAUCUUGAAACAUAAGCAGCUCGAUCACCAAUUAUUACUUCAGUAACUCACACAUAAAUGCAAGGAGAAAGUGUAGUCACUUUAUCAUACAAUAUCAUACAACUUUAGAGGGAUUGAUGCUUUGAUAUAAACAAUUUACAUGUAGCAAAAUGCCAAGUAUAAAUAGACAUAACAUGUAAGGCAUGAUGAGACUUUUACAACCCAGAUGGCUUUUCUUUAGAACAACAUUCUUAACAUGGGAGGACUUUAGGGUACCCCUCCAAUCCAAGGAUAGAAGAGCUCCACCAAGCGUAGGCCAAGAUCCUCUCAGCAGCCUUAGGUCAACUUGUUCCUCUCCUUCUACCGUUCAGUCUGGUUUUCCCCCCUUAUCUGUCUUUCGGUCCUGUCUUCUACCGUUCGACCCUCUUCUCUUUCUCUCCUAUACCUUUUCCUCCCAUACACUUUUCAGUCCCAACACACUUAAUUAAGCAAAUUAAUGUAUAAAAUUAAACCAAUAAUUAGCAUACAUGGGCAGGAGCUACCAUACAUUUUCGUUUCCAAUAUUUCCUUCCAAAAUCAAAUAGUAUUUCAAUCCAGGAUUAUAAUGUUCAAGACCCAUUAAUGAAUCAGCAACCUUAAUAACUUGCUUGCAUUCUCUGGUUUCAAUCAUUGAAAAGAGAACGAUAUUUUUUUCUUUUCAAUGAUUUAAAACCAGAGAAUGCAAGCAAGUUAUUGUAUUGAGGUUGCUGAUUCAUUAAUGGGUCUUAAACAUUAUAACCCUGCAUUGAAUUACUAUUUGUUACUGUGCCUCCGGCGACCUCCCCCUUCCUUUUGCUGGCUUCGUUUUCUCUGUAGGUGAACGCUGAAUAACUGUAACACGGUGUAUUCCUCUAUUCUCUUGGCUGAAGACUUCCUUUUUUUGUUGUUGCUUUUUCUCGAUGGCCAAUGCUCUCCCAAUCCAGCUGGAUGAUAAUUCCCAAUUCCCCUUUUGUCGUUCCCCUCUCAGCCCUCUUGCUCCACCUUUUUUCAGUAACUUUUUUAUUAAGUGAUUCUGUUACGCAUUUAUUAAAAUUUGUUCGAGAUUACUGUUCAUAUGAAUAGUAACUUAAUAAUAGGAUUCGAUGUUUUGGUUCUUUUCCGUUUUUAUGUCACCGGUAUAUAAGGGAUUCCAGCCUUUGUAAUAAAGAAGAGAAGAAGAGAAUAAAUAAACAACAUUAUUACCUUUUGAACGCGCGUUCUUCGAUUCCUUUCUCUUUUCCGAUCAUUUGCCGCAGUCGUCUGUCACGCCGGAGCUCUUCGUCCCCGUCGUCUUUCGCAUCGGAGCUUCGAUCAGAUUCCCAUGCUUCAUCCUCAUCUCGCUGCUGGCUCGAAGACUUUGGCACUCACCUAACUCUGACUUCAGAAUGUUCGAGUGAGAUAUUUUAUCUCGCCAUUCAUUUUGGGCCUUCUCUCUGCCGAGAACUGGGCCAACACUGUUUCUUUAUUUUUUUCUCUGCCAAUCCAAACCGUAUCUGCAAAAACAAAUCGCGUCCUCACCUGCAGCAGAACCCGUUUUUCUGCCCCUUACCUCCAACAGCACGCGAUCCUGUUGUACCUCCCCAUCAAACAUUUUUCUUUUUUUUUUACUAAAGACAAAACGCCCAUUAAACCCCUCUUUUUUAUAUUAAUUAUAUAAAAGAAAAACAAAAAAUAAAAAGGGAAAAACCAAAAUUAAAAAUUAUAAAAGGAAAAGCAAAAUAAGAUAAAACAAUAAAUAUAAAAUAAAUAAUAAAAAAAGAGCAUAAAAAUAAAAAUAAAAACGAAAAUUAUUAAAAAUAUGUGACAACAAAAAUGCAAUAAAGCAAAAAAUAAUGCAAUAAAAUAAAAAAUCAAUCAGAACGAAAUUUGAUAUUGAAAAGAGAGUUGAUUAGUUAAUAAAUCAAAACUUUAAUUUUAACAAGGAUUAUACAUUACGUUAAAUAUAUGGUAUUUUAUGUUAAUUAGAAAAAUAUAAACUUUUGCUAUUACUUGAUAUUGGUAUAUAUUGUUAAUGUUAUUUUUAACAUCUUUUAUUUUUCAUAUUUAUAUUUGGUUGUAAUAUAUACUUGUAUCAUUUUUGCUUAUGUCUGUUUUAGAUAUAAGGGAAAUUAAUUCUACAUCUAAUUUUAUUAUAUUCAAUAAAUAUAAGACAUUUAUAUGAUUUAUGUUUGGAGGUAAUUAAACCCCGUGAGCUUGAAAGGCUCCCAACAAAGUGACUUUUGAGCUUGAGAGUUGUCUCCAACUUAUGUACUCUUCUUAGUUUCUAUGUUUUGAUGUGAGACUACUUGGGAUUUUUUUNNNNNUUUUUUCCAAUAAUUUUAUGAUUAAUAUAAAUUUUUUUGAAAAUUAGAACUUCUUAUAAAAUUUUAAAUAAUUACUAAAAUACUACAAAUAUAAAAGUUUAUAAUAUAUAUUAAAACAAAUAAUUAAAACAUACAAUUUUUAUUAAAAGACUCUAUAAAUGGGUGUUCAAAGAAACAAAUACAUAUUGAAUAUUAACUUAUCUCAACAUUCAAAUUUAACUUUUGCAAUAAUUUAAAUCUAAAACAAAUAACAUGCCCUUGUUCAAUAUAGAGUUAAAUAUUAACUAAACUAAAAUUUACAUCCAAAAUAGAAUCAAACUCUACUUAGAAAAAAAUCCCAAAACAAGUGUUUCUAGUGGUGCAGAUGCUGCACAAAAAAUUAUUAGGUGGAAUUCUUCAAGCUUGAUGGCAAUAUAAAAACAAAGGUAGAAGAUAAGAAAAGACAUAAUAGAGACUUGUGUUGCUUGCCAUCGGAAACAAAAAUAGACACCACAUUUAGAGGCCAAACAAAUACAUAAUAUGAACUUAAAGAUUAGAUAAAUUAUAAACAAGGAAUACAAGAAUUAAUGUUUUCUUGUAUUUUAAAAGUAAAAAUAUUUCCUAAAACAUUUGAAAAAGGAAUAAAUUGUUUACAUGAAAGCUAAAUCACGGUUUUCUUCCUUCUUAUAAUUAUUAAAAUUAUAAUUAAAAUUAAUUAAAAUUUCAUAUUCUUUAAUUUUCCAAUCUUAAACAUUCCAUAAAUUUUGAAUUGUCCUGAAAGCAACUUUCAUGAUAAAAAAACUACAUAUAGGAGAAGAAUAAAAUAAAAUACAAACAGCAUCACUUCAUCAAUGCAAAGAUAGCUCUUUCAUUUCUCAAAACAUGUUUCGACUUUUAUUAUUCUACUUAGCCAAAUUCUCAAAACAGAUAGGAAUGUGAAGCAUAAUAAUAGAUGGCACCGAAACAAUCACCAAAUACUUAAGAAAAGUGGUAGAACUGUAGAAGGUUAAAAUUCCUGGCAUAGGCAACAAGCAACUGAACUUGAAUGCACAUGUUUUCAAAAUAAUCUCCAAGGACAAUACUUUUAAUUUCACAAAGUAUCACUUAUUUCUAGGAGAAGGAUUCAAGAUGUGAUUCAUUUGAAUCUUGAUACUGUCGUAUUAGAUGUGUAUUUACUUAUAAACCCAUCCAAAAUCCAAAAAAACUUUCAUUUAUUUGAAAAAGUUAACCUUGAUCAUAGUUCCUAACCUGCAUAUUGAAUGCCACAUCUGAUCUUGAAACAUAAGCAGCUCGAUCACCAAUUAUUACUUCAGUAACUCACACAUAAAUGCAAGGAAAAAGUGUAGUCACUUUAUCAUACAACUUUAGAGGGAUUGAUGCUUUGAUAUAAACAAUUUAUAUGUAGCAAAAUGCCAAGUAUAGAUUUAAUAGACUUAACAUGUAAGGCAUGAGUCUUUUACAACCCAGAUGGCUUUUCUUUAGAAGUCUCCAACUUUGAGCUAAGACCAACAUUCUUAACUUGGGAGGACUUUAGGGUACCCCUCCAAUCCAAGGAUAGAGGAGCUCCACCAAGCGAGGCCAAGAUCCUCUCAGCAGCCUUAGAAGACAGAGGAAGUAGGGUUACACAUAAGUAACAAUGUGUGUUACACAUAAAUUGGUCAAGACACAGGAAAGAAAGAACAUAUAGAAUGAAAGAGAAAAAAAUCAAGAUAACUAAGAAAGUCUAAACUAAAUACUCAUCCAAAUCCAAAGACACCAAAGAAUAUCCAUUAACCUAACUUAAUAUAUGAGGUUCAAGCAAGAUUAAAAGGGAACAUGAUCAAGAAAAACACACUAAAUUCAAUUAUAAGUAAGCAUGAGUCACACUUGAGCCAUAUCCAUUUUCCUAAGAUGAGCAUGACAAAUUCCAGCCUUAAUUUUCAAAUAUCUGUGAGCCUUAAUUUGAAAAUUAAGACUGGAAUUUGCCAUGCUCAUCUUGAACAAGUGUAACUCAUGCUUACUUAUAAUUGAAUUUAGUGCAUUUUUCUUGAUGAUGACCCCUUUUAAUCUUGUUUAAACCUCAUAUAUUAGGUUAGGUUAAUUAAUAUUCUUUCGUGUCUUUGGAUGAGUAUUUAGUUUAGACUUUCUUAGUUAUCUUGAUUUUUUUCUCUUUCAUUCUAUAUGUUCUUUCUUUCCUGUGUCUUGACCAAUUUAUGUGUAACACACAUUGUUACUUAUACACCAUAAUUUUCCCUCCAUGUAAUAUAUUCAUUAUAAAGCUUGGGUUUUGAAUGAGAUUUGCAUGUAAUGUUUUGCUGAUUUCCUAUUUUACGUAGAUUUUUGUUCUCUCUCCUUUUUAUUCUAAAUAAGAAAACUUAACUUUAUGGUCAUCUUGUAUAUAAUUUUUUUCCUUAUAAAAUGUCUUCUUUUCUUAAGAAAAAAGAUUAAUGUCAUAGUCUUUGUAAUCAUGUACAACUCUCUUUCUUCUCCAACCCCAUUUCUGAAGCACAUUAUAUCAUUAUUUUUAAGUUACUUUUUCCAUGUUUCUCAUUAACUUAAUUUCAUACAAUGUUGGAGUGCAAGAAAAUGUCUAAUAAUACAUGUAAUGACAGUGUAUGAAUCUUUCUUUUGACUUUGUUCUCAUUUUUAUGUAUUACUUAACAUUUCAUUUGAUUACUAGGUUCUCUUCAAUGAUUUGAAACCAGAGAAUCCAAGUGAGUAUGUUGACUUGGUUAUUGAGAUUGCUGAUUCAUUAAUGGGUCUUGAACAUUAUAACUCUGCAUUGAAUUACUAUUUGAUGUUGGAAGGAAAUAUUGGAAACGAAAAUGCAUGGUAACUCCUGCCCAUGUAUGCCAAUUAUUGGUUUAAUUUUAUACCAGUAAUUUGCUUAAUUAGGUGUGUCAGGGGCUGGAAAGUGUAUGAGAGGAAGAUGUAUAGGAGAGAAAGAGAAAAGGGCCGAACGGUAGAAGACAAGACAGGGACCGAACGAUAGAUAAUGGGGACAAACGGUAGAAGGAGGGGAACAAGUUGACCAAACGGUAGACAAGGGGGACGACCAGGCUGAACGGUAGAUAAGAGGAGACGACCAAGCCGAACGAUGGAAGGCGGGAAGCGAGUUGGCCGAACGGAUGGAAGCAGCAAGGAAGCAUCCUAACUGCCACCGCGGUUAGGAUGUGCGGGAAGUUAAUUAGAGUAACAAGAGAGAUAUUCAGCAAAAGAUAAUUAGAGUAACAAAGUCAUAUCUCAGUAUAUUAUUCGGUAUAAGUUAAAUAUAGUAAAUAAGGCUACAUGUAUUCGUAUCAGUCAAUUAAAUAUAUUCGUAUUAGACAAUUAUAGUAAAUAGGAUUAUUUUCUAAGAUUCAGUACGUUUUGGGAGAGAAUUAACUAGUAUAAAUAAAAAAGUCUAGGGUUUAAGGCAUGCUUUUGAUUUGUGAGUUUUGUAAGAGAGGUUAUGUUCUCAGGUAACUGACGGAGAUCCUGCUUGCAAUUAUUGUUUGCUUUCUUUGAUUCAGUUAUUUCCAUUCAAUAAAAGAGGUUUAUUCAGUUAUUGUCCAUUGUUCCUUGUUUGUGUGUUAGGAAGCUUUCUAGUUACAUCCCAUACUCAGGUACGCAAGAAUUGAUCUAACCUGCCAGAUCCGAUAGAAAGGAGUGAAAGGCUAGCCAGAUACAAAUUGAAAGGAGUAGUAGAUAUCAUGGAGGGAAGAAUGAAUGUGGUCGAAGUGAAACUAGAGAACAUGGAGCUUUCCAUGGGAAAUUUGGAGGUGACAAUGCAAAGGAGUUUCCAAGAACUGAUGAGGAUGAUAGAAUGACUAAACUAUCAACGAGAGGGGAAGCCAGAAGGAAGCCAAGGCUCUAUUAACACACAAUGAAGGAGGACGAAGGCGAGAAGGAUGAUGGAUCGAACGAUAGGAGAAAGUGUAGUCACUUUAUCAUACAAUAUCAUACAACUUUAGAGGGAUUGAUGCUUUGAUAUAAACCAUUUACAUGUAGCAAAAUGCCAAGUAUAAAUAGACUUAACAUGUAAGGCAUGAUGAGACUUUUACAACCCAGAUGGCUUUUCUUUAGAAGUCUCCAACCUUGAGCCAAGACCAACAUUCUUAACAUGGGAGGACUUUAGGGUACCCCUUCAAUCCAAGGAUAGAAGAGCUCCACCAAGCGAGGCCAAGAUCCUCUCAGCAGCCUUAGGUCAACUUGUUCCUCUCCUUCUACCGUCCAGUCUGGUUUUCCCCCCUUAUCUAUCUUUCGGUCCUGUCUUCUACGGUUCGACCCUCUUCUCUUUCUCUCCUAUACCUUUUCCUCCCAUACACUUUUCAGUCCCAACACACUUAAUUAAGCACAUUAAUCUAUAAAAUUAAACCAAUAAUUAGCAUACAUGGACAGGAGUUACCAUACAUUUUCGUUUCCAAUAUUUCCUUCCAAAAUCAAAUAGUAUUUCAAUGCAGGGUUAUAAUGUUCAAGACCCAUUAAUGAAUCAGCAACCUCAAUAACUUGCUUGCAUUCUCUGGUUUCAAAUCAUUGAAAAGAGAACAAUAUUUUUUUCUCUUUCAUUCUAUAUAUUUUUUCUUUCAUGUUCACUUGGUUAUUGAGGUUGCUGAUUCAUUAAUGGGUCUUAAUUAUUAUAACCCUGCAUUGAAUUACUAUUUGUUACUGUGCCUCCGGCGACCUCCCCUUCCUUUUGCUGGCUUCGUUUUCUCUGUAGUUGAAAGCUGAAUAACUGUAACACGGUGUAUUCCUCUCUUCUCUUGGCUGAAGACUUCCUUUUUUGUUGUUGCUUUUUCUCGAUGGCCAAUGCUCUCCCAAUCCAGCUGGAUGAUAAUUCCCAAUUCCCCUUUUGUCGUUCCCCUCUCAGCUCUCUUGCUCCACCUUUUUUCAGUAACCUUUUUUAUUAAGUGAUUCUGUUACGCAUUUAUUAAAAUUUGUUUGAGAUUACUGUAACGUAAUAAUAAGAUUCGAUGUUUUGUUUCUUUUCCGUUUUUAUGUCACCGGAACCCUAUAUAAGGAUUCCAGCCUUUGUAAUAAAGAAGAGAAGAAGAGAAUAAAUAAACAACAACAUUAUUACUUUGUAAACACUGUUUUCGUACCUUUUGAACGCGCGCUCUUCGAUUCCUUUCUCUUUUCCGAUCAUUUGCCGCAGUCGUCUGUCACGCCGGAGCUCUUCGUCCCCGUCGUCUUUCGCAUCGGAGCUUCGAUCAGAUUCCCAUUCUUCAUCCUCAUCUCGCUGCUGGCUCGAAGACUUUGG
RNAcentral lists this long non-coding RNA (7539 nucleotides) under Vigna radiata. RNAcentral's name for it is "long non-coding RNA (VRAD_LNC001429)". Lineage: Eukaryota; Viridiplantae; Streptophyta; Magnoliopsida; Fabales; Fabaceae. The record is from RNAcentral.